GAAGUCUGUGAAAAGAAGUCAGUGAACUUCAGGGAAUAUCCUAAACCUUACACCUGAUUGCAUCCACAUAUGCAUUGGACUUGAGCUACUUCCUCAAUGUUGGAAAUGCCCUUCCAAGUGUGAGAUGCUUCUCUUGACCUGCACCAAGGUAGAGACCAGCUUCGACUUGGGCAAAAAGUGAGGGGUGCUGAACACUCUACAAGCACUGCAGGCUGGAAGGCAGGAAAUUACUGA
RNAcentral lists this long non-coding RNA (234 nucleotides) under Sus scrofa (pig). RNAcentral's name for it is "lncRNA (ENSSSCG00045005873.1)". Lineage: Eukaryota; Metazoa; Chordata; Mammalia; Artiodactyla; Suidae. The record is from RNAcentral.